AAGUCGUAACAAGGUUUCCGUAGGUGAACCUGCGGAAGGAUCAUUAACACGUAUCCACGUUAUCAAACCAAUGAGAACCGUUUUCCCGUCUCCCUGCUGCAUGAAAUGAAUUGGUAACCAGUUUGAGGGGGUGAUGGGACCGAUAAGGUCGACCUUCCUGGCACACUGAUGUUUUAAUUCGUUUAUUCGGAUGGACAUCGACAAUUGUAUUUGUGUUCUGCAGGCUAAUUCUUUAUCGCUUUGAUCCCCUCACGAUCGUGGCGGUAAGGGAGCCCUUUAAACUACAUUCACCCCCUUUUUGCUAGUUGACUUUUUAUAUGUGUUGUGAAUUCGAUUGCUUCAUUGCAACGGGCUCUCGGCACACGUUUAUUAAUUGAACGUUAAAAAAUACAACUCUUAGCAAUGGAUAUCUUGGUUCUC
This 420-nucleotide unclassified non-coding RNA is filed under the name fungal sp. Its description in RNAcentral is "partial internal transcribed spacer region". The stretch from base 1 to 46 matches the Rfam family "Eukaryotic small subunit ribosomal RNA", at positions 1786 to 1831 of the family's 1831-position model. The record is from RNAcentral. Lineage: Eukaryota; Fungi.